CCUACGGGCGGCAGCAGUGGGGAAUUUUGGACAAUGGGCGAAAGCCUGAUCCAGCAAUGCCGCGUGCAGGAUGAAGGCCUUCGGGUUGUAAACUGCUUUUGUACGGAACGAAACGGUUCUUUCUAAUAAAGAGGGCUAAUGACGGUACCGUAAGAAUAAGCACCGGCUAACUACGUGCCAGCAGCCGCGGUAAUACGUAGGGUGCAAGCGUUAAUCGGAAUUACUGGGCGUAAAGCGUGCGCAGGCGGUUAUGUAAGACAGUUGUGAAAUCCCCGGGCUCAACCUGGGAAUUGCAUCUGUGACUGCAUAGCUAGAGUACGGUAGAGGGGGAUGGAAUUCCGCGUGUAGCAGUGAAAUGCGUAGAUAUGCGGAGGAACACCGAUGGCGAAGGCAAUCCCCUGGACCUGUACUGACGCUCAUGCACGAAAGCG
RNAcentral lists this ribosomal RNA (431 nucleotides) under uncultured bacterium. Its description in RNAcentral is "bacterial SSU rRNA". It matches the Rfam family "Bacterial small subunit ribosomal RNA", at positions 338 to 761 of the family's 1533-position model. The record is from RNAcentral.